UGCAUACUGUACAUGUACACCAGGGCUCGAAUUACCCACCGGCAAUCGGCAAUUUGCCGCAAUGCCCCUCUCACUGGCCGGAAUGCCCUUUUCAAAAUCAAACCGUUUACGGCCACAAUAUUUUAAUCCACAAAAGUUUUGCCGACAUUAUAGUCAUCGUAAGCCAACCCGACUUGUAAUGUUAAAAAAGGUUUUGUUGCCCAUACGGAGCUCUAAAAACAAUGAUAGUCGGCAAGGUUUUGUUGCCCCUCCG
Molecule: long non-coding RNA, 253 nt
Filed under: Strongylocentrotus purpuratus (purple sea urchin)
Lineage: Eukaryota; Metazoa; Echinodermata; Echinoidea; Camarodonta; Strongylocentrotidae
Description: uncharacterized LOC115919225
Source: RNAcentral